UGGACUUUUGCUUGCACAAAUUGGGGAAUUCGCAUUUGUGCUCUUGAGUCGUGCCUCAAACCUGCAUAUUGUUCAGGGCAAGAUGUACCUUCUUCUUCUCGGAACAACUGCUCUAAGUCUUGUCACAACCCCUGUCUUGUUCAAGUUGAUACCUGCUAUCAUGCACCUGGGAGUUCUUAUGCACUGGUUUCCUGUGGAAAAUGUCGCACCAGAUGAGGAGAA
This 222-nucleotide unclassified non-coding RNA is filed under the name Hevea brasiliensis (rubber tree). Lineage: Eukaryota; Viridiplantae; Streptophyta; Magnoliopsida; Malpighiales; Euphorbiaceae. The record is from RNAcentral.